This 535-nucleotide long non-coding RNA is filed under the name Taeniopygia guttata (zebra finch). Its description in RNAcentral is "lncRNA (ENSTGUG00000026571.1)". The record is from RNAcentral. Lineage: Eukaryota; Metazoa; Chordata; Aves; Passeriformes; Estrildidae.
GAAGCUGUCGGAAUGAUCCUCUGAACUUGCAGCGUAGGAGCUCGGCACACACAGGCUUCUUGCAGAGAUCUGCAAAGAGCAACUGAUGUGAGCAUGCUCUCAUGACUCAGGAGUACCACCAAGCACCCAGAGCUCUUCCUGCUCUGCCAGGUCCCUUACUGGCAUCACCCCAGCCCUGCUCCAGACCCUGAUGGUCACCAAGAUGUUCAUUACUCUGUAAAAUAUUUCUGAGUGUUCAAGGUCUUCUGGACAGUGAUUGCAAGCUGGAGAGGACUUGAAGGACACUUUAGUUUUGUGUACACCUCAAGUUAAGGAGAGAGCUCUCACACCUAUGGGUGCACUGAGAAGACAGCCAGGACCAGGGCUCUGCAGCAGAUUACCAUUGGGAUGGUAACAUCCCAGUGCUCAUCAGCUUGAUACACAAUUUUAUUCACAAGUCAUUGGAGCAGUACUGAUGGAAAUGAGCUGAUGAAGGUUUAGUUUUAAGCCAUAUUUUAUUUAAGUUUUUUUUAGUAUUUGCGAGGAGAGGUUGCAA